UACGUAGGUGGCAAGCGUUGUCCGGAAUUAUUGGGCGUAAAGCGCGCGCAGGUGGUUUCUUAAGUCUGAUGUGAAAGCCCACGGCUCAACCGUGGAGGGUCAUUGGAAACUGGGGAACUUGAGUGCAGAAGAGGAAAGUGGAAUUCCAAGUGUAGCGGUGAAAUGCGUAGAGAUUUGGAGGAACACCAGUGGCGAAGGCGGCACUCUGGGCCGGUACUGACGCUGAGGAGCGAAAGCGUGGGGAGCGAACAGG
RNAcentral lists this ribosomal RNA (253 nucleotides) under uncultured bacterium. RNAcentral describes it as "partial 16S ribosomal RNA". It matches the Rfam family "Bacterial small subunit ribosomal RNA", at positions 524 to 776 of the family's 1533-position model. The record is from RNAcentral.